Non-coding RNA from Vibrio sp., 46 nucleotides. Lineage: Bacteria; Pseudomonadati; Pseudomonadota; Gammaproteobacteria; Vibrionales; Vibrionaceae. The record is from Rfam.
AAAAUGGCUCCUUUCGGAGCCACUUUUUUUAGAUAACUGUUUUCAG